AAAAGUGGUUAUCUUUCUUAAUACCAACGGUGAAUAUAAAAACGGUGUAAAUAAAACUAUUUAUAUAUGGAGUCGCUGGUUUAAGUGCACGCAGGGCUCUGUGAUGUACUCCUCUGGUUUGAGGUUUCCUGACAGGACUCUGACAGGACUCUGCUUGCCUUGGAUGGCUGAGGGGACAUGAGUUGUUAGGGAUUUUGAGGUUCAGGAGUGUUUGCCAAAGUCAAUUCUGGCCUAAGAAGCAGCUGUAUGAAGUUUCUUGGCACAUCUUACUCCUUAAACAUGGCAGUCAACAUCACAGCGCCUUGUUUAUAUGUAUACCUUCAUUGACCAUGAAAGCUGGAUUCCUUUCAUCCCUAAAAGUGUCCAGAUUACUAUUGGAACCAAAAUUUACAUGGGAUGACCCAAUCAAGUGGUGACUUCAUCAAAAAGGGAUGCAGUGGAGACAAGAAAAAGAUCCAUCAUCACCAUCAUCUGAAUUUGGUGGGACGAUGGAAGAAAGCAUAGUCAAAUAUGCCAAAAGGGAGCCUGAACACAAAGAAGAUAUUUGGAAGAAUGUUGGUAACCAGCACCUGUUCACUUCCAUUGGUUUUGUGUCCACACAAUCGAAAUGAAUGGAGUCCCGUG
This is a long non-coding RNA of Triplophysa dalaica, 624 nucleotides long. RefSeq lists it as uncharacterized. The record is from RefSeq and is a predicted model, not a curated record. The transcript has 5 exons. Lineage: Eukaryota; Metazoa; Chordata; Actinopteri; Cypriniformes; Nemacheilidae.